AACGAACGCUGGCGGCAUGCCUAACACAUGCAAGUCGAACGAGGCUUCGGCCUAGUGGCGGACGGGUGAGUAACGCGUAGGAACCUGCCGAGUAGUGGGGGAUAACAGCUGGAAACGGCUGCUAAUACCGCAUACGCCCUUUUGGGGGAAAGAUUUAUCGCUAUUUGAGGGUCCUGCGUUCGAUUAGCUAGUUGGCGGGGUAACGGCCCACCAAGGCGACGAUCGAUAGCUGGUCUGAGAGGAUGAUCAGCCACACUGGGACUGAGACACGGCCCAGACUCCUACGGGAGGCAGCAGUGGGGAAUAUUGGACAAUGGGGGAAACCCUGAUCCAGCAAUGCCGCGUGCGUGAAGAAGGCCUUAGGGUUGUAAAGCGCUUUCACCUGUGACGAUGAUGACGGUAG
Molecule: ribosomal RNA, 403 nt
Filed under: uncultured bacterium
Lineage: Bacteria
Description: bacterial SSU rRNA
Rfam family: Bacterial small subunit ribosomal RNA
Source: RNAcentral